CGGGGUGUGGCGCAGUUGGCUAGCGCACCAGCAUGGGGUGCUGGGGGCCGGUGGUUCGAGUCCACUCACCCCGA
This 74-nucleotide transfer RNA is filed under the name Bacteroidota bacterium. Its description in RNAcentral is "Bacteroidetes bacterium tRNA-Pro". It matches the Rfam family "tRNA". From Rfam's summary of the family: Transfer RNA (tRNA) molecules are approximately 80 nucleotides in length. Their secondary structure includes four short double-helical elements and three loops (D, anti-codon, and T loops). The record is from RNAcentral. RNAcentral also lists the same sequence under 1 other name. Lineage: Bacteria; Pseudomonadati; Bacteroidota.